ACGCUGGCGGAAUGCUUAACACAUGCAAGUCGGGCGGUAACACUUCGGGUGACGAGCGGCGGACGGGUGCGUAACGCGUGAGAAUCUACCUUUUAGUGGGGGACAACCCGAGGAAACUCGGGCUAAUACCGCAUAUGUCCUACGGGAUAAAGCAGGGGACCUUCGGGCCUUGCGCUAAAAGAUGAGCUCGCGUUAGAUUAGCUUGUUGGUAGGGUAAAAGCCUACCAAGGCAACGAUCUAUAGCUGGUCUGAGAGGAUGAUCAGCCACACUGGGACUGAGACACGGCCCAGACUCCUACGGGAGGCAGCAGUGGGGAAUAUUGGACAAUGGGGGCAACCCUGAUCCAGCAAUUCCGCGUGUGUGAAGAAGGCCCGAGGGUUGUAAAGCACUUUCAGUAGCCAAAAUGGGAUUUUAUACUAAUAUUAUAAGAUCUUGAUAUUAACUACAGAAGAAGCACCG
Molecule: ribosomal RNA, 460 nt
Filed under: uncultured bacterium
Lineage: Bacteria
Description: bacterial SSU rRNA
Rfam family: Bacterial small subunit ribosomal RNA
Source: RNAcentral